AUGAGUUGCAUGAGCUGGAACUGCCGCGGGCUUGGGAACCCAGAGGCAGUUCGCGAGCUUCGCAAUGUUGUGAAGCAAGAAGGUCCCAGUCUCCUCUUUCUGAUGGAGACCAAGAUUUAGGCAAAGAGAGUGGAGAGCUUGCAGAACCAGCUUGGUUUUGCGGGCUGUUUUAUAGUAAACAGCAAUGGUUUGAGUGGGGGCAUCGGUAUGUUCUGGUCAGCGGAUAUGGAUGUGGAAUUGAAAAAUUAUAGCGCAGUGCAUAUUGAUGUCAAGGUCAGCAAGAAAGCUCGAAGCUCGGUUGAGUGGAGAGUGACAGGUUUCUAUGGAGCUCCACGGGAGGAAGAUAGACGCCAUAGUUGGAGGUUCCUUUGCAAUUUGUUUGAAAUCCAACAUGAUGCUUGGCUGUGUGUUGGGGAUUUCAAUGAAACAAUGUUUGCCUCUGAACACUUUUCUCGUGUCGAAUGA
RNAcentral lists this ribosomal RNA (465 nucleotides) under Triticum aestivum (bread wheat). RNAcentral describes it as "partial small subunit ribosomal RNA". The record is from RNAcentral. Lineage: Eukaryota; Viridiplantae; Streptophyta; Magnoliopsida; Poales; Poaceae.